Molecule: ribosomal RNA, 254 nt
Filed under: uncultured bacterium
Lineage: Bacteria
Description: partial 16S ribosomal RNA
Rfam family: Bacterial small subunit ribosomal RNA
Source: RNAcentral
UACGAAGGGGGCUAGCGUUGUUCGGAAUUACUGGGCGUAAAGGGCGCGUAGGCGGUCAGUGCAAGUCAGUUGUGAAAUCUCCGGGCUUAACUCGGAAAGGUCAACUGAUACUGCUCGACUAGAGUGCGGAAGGGGCAACUGGAAUUCUUGGUGUAGCGGUGAAAUGCGUAGAUAUCAAGAGGAACACCUGCGGCGAAGGCGGGUUGCUGGGCCGACACUGACGCUGAAGUGCGAAAGCUAGGGGAGCGAUCCGG